AUGUCCUCACCUCUGUUUACAUUUCAGGAGGCAGGGCGUGAGAAACAAGGAGAGCUGGAGUGCGUCAGAUCUCAGAUCCAGGAGCUAAAAAGCCAGCAGACACAACACAGCAGAGAUCUGCAGAGCCGAGGCUUCAAAUCGAGCAUGAUGCUGGUCCUUGAUCACCCGGGAAAGGACAGUGACUCUGGGUCUCUGUUGAUCCGGCCUCAACCAGAAACUUUGCCUUCAGAGACCAAUUUGGUUCUCUCUCAUCGGCAAAGAUCAGACUCCACAGCGUCAGAAAACAGCGUGAGCUCUGCUCACUCCAGGUCCAAUCUGGAUUCUGUGGCCUCAGAGAGAAGCCAGGUCUCAAGCGUACUUGCUCGGCGGGAUUCUGGAGCUUCAGACAAAAGCAGUAGUUCAUCCCAGUGUGAACACCUCGACUCUAGCACAUCUGAAAAAAGCAUCAGCUCCGUCAUUCACUCCAGACAGAGACUCGGAUCAGAUGUAUCCGAUUCGUGUGUCAGACCACAACUUGGAUCAAGAUCCUCAGAUAUCUUGAGUAUGUUGGCAAGGACACGGACCAAUUCUAGCAUGAGCAUGUCUUCCGAGGAGAGGGGUCCAGCUGAGGAGGUAACCUCAAGUUCAACAUACAGCACUGAUUCCGAAACGGAGAAAAGCCGAAGUCCCGCCAGCAUCCAGACUCAGUCCAACCAUGAUCAUGUUGGUGACAAUGAGCAGCCUGAUGGCGCUGGUUUAUCUCGCCAAAACCCUUUAAAUGGCCUACCCAGUAGCACCAGCAAUAAGGAGACAGCAGAUGACCAGAAGCCAAAGGUAUUAUGUACUGCAGUUGUAUCAGAUUCACAUAAAAUAUCUUUAUUGGUUGCAAUUUCCAGGACAGUUGCAAAAAAACCAAAAGAAAUGUUAACUGAAAUUGUUAACUGAAAAGUAUAUUUUCUCCUCAGUGUUUCGUUACUAAGUUGAUUUUUAAUAAUAAACUCAGGGAAUACUUUUACAGUCUGGUCGUCCUUGCACCACUAGAGAGGGAUGCUGAGCUGUGAAGCCUCAGUCGAGCUCACAGACUGUUUUAGCUCUGUUACAUUUUCCCUAACAAGAAACCCCUGCACUUCAUUUUUUUCUGACACCCAGAUGCCAUCGGCAUCCAUAAAUACAAACACUGCGGUCCUGCUAGAUGUUGUUUAACUUGAGUUACUUGGUUACACAAACAAACUGCACCUGACUGCUUCUGUUUGACCUCAGCAGUGCGUCAGCCUCACCUGAUGUUAAAGAGACAACGUCGCACGCCAAAGAUUCUGUCUCUCGUCAUCUCACAGCUCGGAGAAUAUACAAACAAAUGUCUCCUGUUUCUGCGCCGCCCGCUAGUUGUUGAAGAAUAUUUCCUGCCUUGAAGGCUCAUGUUAGCUUCAUGCCAUUGUGUGACUCCACUAAAUGUGUUUGCUUUAAAACUACUCCCUGACGUCUUCAUUGUUCUCUGCUGCAUAUGCUGAUACAGAUUCUCCUGGUAAUAAUGCAAACGCUUUGAGAUCCAUUGUAGUCGCAUUGCCAAGAAAAGAUGAAAGGUUCACAUUCUCACCCCAAACACAAAUGUUGCAUGACGAAAAGUCGAUGCUGUUUUUAGAUCUGUGGAGGUCUGUGUGUGUGUGUGUGGUUGCCACUGCAGCCUGAGGCGUGAAGACUCCAGCUCCAGAUGAAUGUGCAAAUCUGAACAGCACACCAGCUGUGUGGCUGUCAAUCCAGGCAAUGAAAAUGUUGACCUCUGACUUCCUUCACUUCCUGUACUAGGUGUUUUGUCAUGUUCUUUUGUGUUUCUUCUCUUUAGAAAACUCUGAACAGCAGUCUGUCAUUCAGGCAUGUCAAUGAGAGAAAAUAUGGUAAGAAACCACCCCAUAAAUAUAUCAAAAAUAAAAUCCUCUAAGAAUAGUUAGGUUUUUUUUUAUC
Molecule: long non-coding RNA, 1938 nt
Filed under: Oryzias sinensis (Chinese medaka)
Lineage: Eukaryota; Metazoa; Chordata; Actinopteri; Beloniformes; Adrianichthyidae
Description: lncRNA (ENSOSIG00000018761.1)
Source: RNAcentral